AAUGGGAAUUUUGCUUAUUGCACCACAUGUGUUUUUCUUUGAAACAAACUUGCUUUGGCGGUGGGCCCAGCCUGCCGCCAGAGGUCUAAACUUACAACCAAUUUUUUAUCAACUUGUCACACCAGAUUAUUACUUAAUAGUCAAAACUUUCAACAACGGAUCUCUUGGUUCUCGCAUCGAUGAAGAACGCAGCGAAAUGCGAUACGUAAUAUGAAUUGCAGAUAUUCGUGAAUCAUCGAAUCUUUGAACGCACAUUGCGCCCUCUGGUAUUCCGGAGGGCAUGCCUGUUUGAGCGUCGUUUCUCCCUCAAACCGCUGGGUUUGGUGUUGAGCAAUACGACUUGGGUUUGCUUGAAAGACGGUAGUGGUAAGGCGGGAUCGCUUUGACAAUGGCUUAGGUCUAACCAAAAACAUUGCUUGCGGCGGUAACGUCUACCACGUAUAUCUUCAAACUUUGACCUCAAAUCAGGUAGGACUACCCGCUGAACUUAAGCAUAUCAAUAAGCGGAGGAA
Molecule: ribosomal RNA, 512 nt
Filed under: Candida albicans
Lineage: Eukaryota; Fungi; Ascomycota; Pichiomycetes; Serinales; Debaryomycetaceae
Description: eukaryotic LSU rRNA
Rfam family: 5.8S ribosomal RNA (bases 145-298)
Source: RNAcentral